RNAcentral lists this ribosomal RNA (253 nucleotides) under uncultured bacterium. RNAcentral's name for it is "partial 16S ribosomal RNA". It matches the Rfam family "Bacterial small subunit ribosomal RNA", at positions 524 to 776 of the family's 1533-position model. The record is from RNAcentral.
UACGAAGGGGGCUAGCGCUGCUCGGAAUCACUGGGCGUAAAGGGUGCGUAGGCGGGUCUUUAAGUCAGGGGUGAAAUCCUGGAGCUCAACUCCAGAACUGCCUUUGAUACUGAAGAUCUUGAGUUCGGGAGAGGUGAGUGGAACUGCGAGUGUAGAGGUGAAAUUCGUAGAUAUUCGCAAGAACACCAGUGGCGAAGGCGGCUUACUGGUCCGGUACUGACGCUGAGGUGCGAAAGCGUGGGGAGCAAACAGG